This 253-nucleotide ribosomal RNA is filed under the name uncultured bacterium. Its description in RNAcentral is "partial 16S ribosomal RNA". It matches the Rfam family "Bacterial small subunit ribosomal RNA", at positions 524 to 776 of the family's 1533-position model. The record is from RNAcentral.
UACGUAGGGUGCAAGCGUUAAUCGGAAUUACUGGGCGUAAAGCGUGCGCAGGCGGUUGUGCAAGACAGAUGUGAAAUCCCCGGGCUUAACCUAGGAAUUGCAUUUGUGACUGCACGGCUAGAGUGUGUCAGAGGGGGGUAGAAUUCCACGUGUAGCAGUGAAAUGCGUAGAGAUGUGGAGGAAUACCGAUGGCGAAGGCAGCCCCCUGGGAUAACACUGACGCUCAUGCACGAAAGCGUGGGGAGCAAACAGG